CAGUCGCCGCGGUAAAACCGAGGGUGCAAGCGUUAAUCGGAAUUACUGGGCGUAAAGCGCGCGUAGGUGGUUUGUUAAGUUGGAUGUGAAAUCCCCGGGCUCAACCUGGGAACUGCAUCCAAAACUGGCAAGCUAGAGUAUGGUAGAGGGUGGUGGAAUUUCCUGUGUAGCGGUGAAAUGCGUAGAUAUAGGAAGGAACACCAGUGGCGAAGGCGACCACCUGGACUGAUACUGACACUGAGGUGCGAAAGCGUGGGGAGCAAACAGGAUUAGAUACCCGCGUAGUCCCUGUCUCUUAUAC
RNAcentral lists this ribosomal RNA (301 nucleotides) under uncultured bacterium. Its description in RNAcentral is "partial 16S ribosomal RNA". It matches the Rfam family "Bacterial small subunit ribosomal RNA", at positions 509 to 807 of the family's 1533-position model. The record is from RNAcentral.